This 500-nucleotide ribosomal RNA is filed under the name uncultured cyanobacterium. RNAcentral describes it as "bacterial SSU rRNA". It matches the Rfam family "Bacterial small subunit ribosomal RNA", at positions 356 to 869 of the family's 1533-position model. The record is from RNAcentral. Lineage: Bacteria; Bacillati; Cyanobacteriota.
GGGGAAUUUUCCGCAAUGGGCGAAAGCCUGACGGAGCAAUACCGCGUGAGGGAGGAAGGCUCUUGGGUCGUAAACCUCUUUUCUCAGGGGAGAACACAAUGACGGUACCUGAGGAAUAAGCAUCGGCUAACUCCGUGCCAGCAGCCGCGGUAAUACGGAGGAUGCAAGCGUUAUCCGGAAUGAUUGGGCGUAAAGCGUCCGCAGGUGGCUAUGUAAGUCUGCUGUUAAAGCGUCUAGCUCAACUAGAUAAGAGCAGUGGAAACUACAAGGCUAGAGUGCGUUCGGGGCAGAGGGAAUUCCUGGUGUAGCGGUGAAAUGCGUAGAGAUCAGGAAGAACACCGGUGGCGAAGGCGCUCUGCUAGGCCGCAACUGACACUGAGGGACGAAAGCUAGGGGAGCGAAUGGGAUUAGAUACCCCAGUAGUCCUAGCCGUAAACGAUGGAUACUAGGCGUGGCUCGUAUCGACCCGAGCCGUGCCGUAGCUAACGCGUUAAGUAUCC